GACGAACGCUGGCGGCAUGCUUAACACAUGCAAGUCGAACGAGAAAGCUUCUUCGGAAGUGAUUAAAGUGGCGCACGGGUGAGUAACGCGUAGACAAUCUGCCCUUCAGUCCGGGACAACUUUCCGAAAGGGGAGCUAAUACCGGAUAACAAUGUUUGACAUAAGUUGAAUAUUUGAAAGCUCCGGCGCUGAUGGAUGAGUCUGCGUCCCAUUAGCUUGUUGGUGCGGUAGUGGCGCACCAAGGCUGCGAUGGGUAGCGGGUUUGAGAGGACGAUCCGCCACACUGGAACUGAGACACGGUCCAGACUCCUACGGGAGGCAGCAGUGGGGAAUAUUGCACAAUGGAGGAAACUCUGAUGCAGCAAUGCCGCGUGAGUGAAGAAGGCCCUUGGGUCGUAAAGCUCUUUUAUGGGGGAAGAUGAUGACG
This 427-nucleotide ribosomal RNA is filed under the name uncultured SAR324 cluster bacterium. RNAcentral describes it as "bacterial SSU rRNA". It matches the Rfam family "Bacterial small subunit ribosomal RNA", at positions 28 to 456 of the family's 1533-position model. The record is from RNAcentral. Lineage: Bacteria; Deltaproteobacteria.